GACGAACGCUGGCGGCGUGCUUAACACAUGCAAGUCGAACGGAAAGGCCCUGCUUGCAGGGUACUCGAGUGGCGAACGGGUGAGUAACACGUGGGUGAUCUGCCCUGCACUUCGGGAUAAGCCUGGGAAACUGGGUCUAAUACCGGAUAUGACCUUCCAUGUAGUGUGGGGGGUGGAAAGAUUUACCGGUGUGGGAUGAGCCCGCGGCCUAUCAGCUUGUUGGUGGGGUAAUGGCCUACCAAGGCGUCGACGGGUAGCCGGCCUGAGAGGGUGGACGGCCACAUUGGGACUGAGAUACGGCCCAGACUCCUACGGGAGGCAGCAGUGGGGAAUAUUGCACAAUGGGCGGAAGCCUGAUGCAGCGACGCCGCGUGGGGGAUGACGGCCUUCGGGUUGUAAACCUCUUUCGACAGGGACGAAGCUUCGGCGACGGUACCUGUAUAAGAAGCACCGGCUAACUACGUG
This 465-nucleotide ribosomal RNA is filed under the name uncultured bacterium. RNAcentral's name for it is "partial 16S ribosomal RNA". It matches the Rfam family "Bacterial small subunit ribosomal RNA", at positions 28 to 507 of the family's 1533-position model. The record is from RNAcentral.